Molecule: ribosomal RNA, 298 nt
Filed under: Phycisphaerales bacterium
Lineage: Bacteria; Pseudomonadati; Planctomycetota; Phycisphaerae; Phycisphaerales
Description: partial 16S ribosomal RNA
Rfam family: Bacterial small subunit ribosomal RNA
Source: RNAcentral
CAAUUGAAGAGUUUGAUCCUGGCUCAGAUUGAACGCUGGCGGCAUGGUUAAAGCAUGCAAGUCGAACGAGAACCGGCUUCGGCCGGGGACAGUGGCGGAAGGGCGAGUAAUGCAUUCCUUACGUACCCCAAGGCGGGGGAUAGGUCGGUGAAAACCGGCGUAAUACCCCAUGUGCUCUUCGGAGGAAAGGCUUCGGCCACCUUGGGAGCGGGGAAUGUCCUAUCAGGUUGUUGGUGAGGUAAAGGCUCACCAAGCCUUAGACGGGUAGCGGGUGUGAGAGCAUGACCCGCCGCAUCGG